RNAcentral lists this ribosomal RNA (253 nucleotides) under uncultured bacterium. Its description in RNAcentral is "partial 16S ribosomal RNA". It matches the Rfam family "Bacterial small subunit ribosomal RNA", at positions 524 to 776 of the family's 1533-position model. The record is from RNAcentral.
UACGAAGGACCCGAGCGUUAUCCGGAUUCAUUGGGUUUAAAGGGUGCGUAGGCGGAUUGAUAAGUCAGUGGUGAAAUCCUGCAGCUUAACUGCAGAACUGCCAUUGAUACUGUCGAUCUUGAGUACACUUGAAGUGGGCGGAAUGUAUCAUGUAGCGGUGAAAUGCUUAGAUAUGACACAGAACACCGAUUGCGAAGGCAGCUCACUAAAUUGUAACUGACGCUGAGGCACGAAAGCGUGGGGAUCAAACAGG